AGUAUGAGAAAGAUAAAUCAAUCUUCCAACCAAUUUCUAAUAUCUUCCUAUGUCAACUGGUUCCCCAACUUUUGCUUGCAGCUUUUGAUUCUCUUCAAUAGGAGAUUCUGCUAGUUUACAACCCAAUAUGUUAGUCUCAUCUAGGAGAUCCAAUGUGUACUUCUUUUGAGAAACAAAAAUUUCUCUGUUUGAUCUAGCGACUUCUAUUCCAAUGAAGUACUUUAACUUACCCAAGUCUUUAAUCUCAAAUU
Molecule: unclassified non-coding RNA, 251 nt
Filed under: Hevea brasiliensis (rubber tree)
Lineage: Eukaryota; Viridiplantae; Streptophyta; Magnoliopsida; Malpighiales; Euphorbiaceae
Source: RNAcentral